GAGGGAGAGAAAAAGAGAGAAAGGGGUGGAGGGAACAUAUGCGCUCAAAUGUGGGAAGUCGGGGCAGCUGUGACGCACUGGAGCGACAAAGCAGUCAGGAUAAAGUGCAAUGAAAAUUAUCUGACUACAAUGCAGAGAUACAGGAGGACCAAUCUUCUAAUUUUUCUUCUAAUUUUGUUCUUAUAGAGACCUGAAGGAGCCAACAAACCACAGUUGAGCUGGACACAACCGAAAUUGCUGCUGCAGUACCGCCUGCUGUAUUGAAGCCGGUCACGAAACUGAGUAACCCUCUUGCUAUUCUGCAACAUGUUGGAAUUGAACUGCUCCCUUGCUGAUCUAUUCUCAUCUAAUGCCACAAUUUUCAAUGGACCCGGCUGCCCUGAUGCUGCUUUGGCAUGUGGGAUGAAUAUCUCCUGGGUUCUAGCUAACGCUACAGCCAAAGAUCUGGGUGUGUUGUGCUGGAGGGUAGAGGAUUACCUUGCAGGAGAGCUUGGGCUCCAGACAUCCCCAGUGUUUAUCCCUGUCUGUGUCACCUAUCUCACCAUCUUCUUGGUGGGGGUACUGGGAAAUUCUUUGACUUGUGUGGUCAUUUUGCGCUACAGGGUGAUGCAGACGCCAACAAACUAUUACCUGCUGAGCCUGGCAGCGUCUGACCUGCUGGUGCUGCUACUGGGCAUGCCGUUAGAGAUCUACGAGAUGUGGCAGAACUACCCCUUCCUGCUCGGAGAGGGAGGCUGCUACUUCAAAACGUUCCUGUUUGAAACCGUCUGCUUCGCUUCGAUCCUCAAUGUCACAGCGCUUAGUGUGGAGCGCUAUGUUGCCGUGGUGCACCCACUCAAAGUCAAACACAUGACUACACGAGCUCACGUCAAGAGGGUGAUCUUCAUGCUGUGGGUGCUGUCCAUGCUGUGUGCUGUGCCAAACACCAGUCUGCAAGGGAUUGAGGAGCUGGAGCCAUUGUUUGGACGAAGAUUUCCCCAAUCUGCUGUGUGCAAAGUGGUUAAGCCCCAGUGGAUGUACAACCUGAUCAUCCUGAUUUCGACACUGGUCUUCUUCCUGCUCCCCAUGCUGAUCAUCAGUAUUCUCUACCUGCUCAUUGGUAUACAGCUGCACAGGGAGAAGGUUUUGACUGUGAUCGACCCAAGGUGUAGCUUUGGACCAGAAAGUCUCUCCAAGUCCCACAAGCAGAAGCUGAGCAAACGCAACAUGCAAGUCACUAAAAUGCUGUGUGUGUUGGUGGUAGUAUUCGGAUUCUGCUGGGCUCCCUUCCACAUGGACCGCUUGAUGUGGAGCUACAUGGACACCUCUGAUGUGAAGCACAUCCAUAUAUUUGGGCCAAUCCACAUCGUGUCUGGAGUCUUCUUCUACCUGAGCUCUGCCAUCAACCCCAUCCUCUACAACCUCAUGUCCACCAGGUUCAGAGAGAUGUUCAGUCACAUUACCUGCUGCUCUAAACGCUGGCAGACUCGCUCCAGCUUAAAGAUGACCCAACGCAGCACCUUGAGCAACAAAUUGAGCAACAGUUUGAAAACGACUUAAGUCAAAGUCAAAUAAUCUUAUAUACUGGGCAUAAUGGUAGCCAUUAAACCUUCAAAUGGGAAGGACAUGAACUGAACAGAUAUUUCUCUGUAAUUGGUAAGCCAUGCAGAUGAAGACAACCAAAAGUUAACCUGAAUAUAUUGUACCAAGUGACAUGGGCUACAUAACUAGCAUCAGCGAUUAUCUAUUUUCUGAACAAGACAGAUGCAAUCCAGCGCUCAGCAUCCUAAGCGCAGUAACAUUCUCAACAUUGCCUACUUUUUUUUCGACAGUACAAUUUCCAGGACUAGAGGUGCUGUUAAUGCAAGGACAUGGCUCCUAUCCAUUUUUCUUACAUAU
RNA transcript from Labrus mixtus (cuckoo wrasse), 1878 nucleotides. It is a transcript of the gene named neuromedin-U receptor 1-like, with no coding region annotated. NCBI's taxonomy places the organism in Eukaryota, Metazoa, Chordata, Actinopteri, Labriformes, Labridae. The transcript has 6 exons. The record is from RefSeq and is a predicted model, not a curated record.